This 253-nucleotide transfer-messenger RNA is filed under the name uncultured Bartonella sp. RNAcentral's name for it is "partial ssrA". It matches the Rfam family "Alphaproteobacteria transfer-messenger RNA", at positions 81 to 331 of the family's 355-position model. From Rfam's summary of the family: Bacterial tmRNA, also known as 10Sa RNA or SsrA, is named for its dual tRNA and mRNA-like properties. Its role is to liberate the mRNA from a stalled ribosome. To accomplish this part of the tmRNA is used as a reading frame that ends in a translation stop signal. The record is from RNAcentral. Lineage: Bacteria; Pseudomonadati; Pseudomonadota; Alphaproteobacteria; Hyphomicrobiales; Bartonellaceae.
ACUCAUUGGACCCGGGGGCGGUACCCGGCGCCUCCACCAAAAUAUACUCAACAAAGUUUAUACUUUGGUGGGGGCGAAAUAGGAUCGACAAGGGUGUAAAGAUUGCUCUUUUACUCGGCAUUGUACCACCGUCAUCGGACUAAAUUAGUAGUUGCAAACGACAACUAUGCGGAAGCACGUCUCGCUGCUUAAAGCAGUGCUAAGGCUUCAAAUUAAGCCUUAAACCGUCGCAGGUUUAAGCGGGGUUCGGAGG